Molecule: ribosomal RNA, 571 nt
Filed under: uncultured bacterium
Lineage: Bacteria
Description: partial 16S ribosomal RNA
Rfam family: Bacterial small subunit ribosomal RNA
Source: RNAcentral
UGGGGAAUAUUGCACAAUGGGCGAAAGCCUGAUGCAGCAACGCCGCGUGAGUGAUGAAGGCCUUCGGGUUGUAAAGCUCUGUCUUUUGGGACGAUAAUGACGGUACCAAAGGAGGAAGCCACGGCUAACUACGUGCCAGCAGCCGCGGUAAUACGUAGGUGGCAAGCGUUGUCCGGAUUUACUGGGCGUAAAGGAUGCGUAGGCGGAUUUUUAAGUGAGAUGUGAAAACCCUAAGCUUAACUUGGGGACUGCAUUUCAUACUGGGAAAUCUAGAGUGCGGGAGAGGAGAAGUGGGAAUUCCUAGUGUAGCGGUGAAAAUGCGUAGAGAUUAGGAAGAACACCAGUGGCGAAGGCGAUUCUCUGGACCGUAACUGACGCUGAGGCAUGAAAGCGUGGGUAGCAAACAGGAUUAGAUACCCCUGGUAGUCCACGCCGUAAGCGAUGAGUACUAGGUGUAGGAGGUAUCGACCCCUUCUGUGCCGCAGUUAACACAAUAAGUACUCCGCCUGGGAAAGUACGAUCGCAAGAUUAAAACUCAAAUGAAUUGACGGGGGUCAUAGCUGUUUUCCUG